GCUCGUCCGUUGCGAGGGCUUAGCCAACGACACGUGCCUUUGGGGGCCGGAGGGCCCCUACUGCUGGUCGGCAAACAAGCGGCGAACAACGCGUCGCUUCUGGCCUGAAUUCUGACUUAGAGGCGUUCAGUCAUAAUCCAGCGCACAGUAGCUUCACGCCACUGAAAAUGAAGUAGAAGAGCCCAGAUUCCAAAUGAACAAAUUCAAACUUAAAAAAAAUCUUUCUGAUUCUCGA
RNAcentral lists this long non-coding RNA (235 nucleotides) under Ricinus communis (castor bean). Its description in RNAcentral is "long non-coding RNA (RCOM_LNC002499)". The record is from RNAcentral. Lineage: Eukaryota; Viridiplantae; Streptophyta; Magnoliopsida; Malpighiales; Euphorbiaceae.